This 72-nucleotide transfer RNA is filed under the name Komagataella phaffii CBS 7435. RNAcentral describes it as "partial tRNA-Pro". Lineage: Eukaryota; Fungi; Ascomycota; Pichiomycetes; Pichiales; Pichiaceae. The record is from RNAcentral.
CAGAUAGAUACCGAAUGGUUAGGUGCUUUUUUUGGGUAAAAGAAUUAGUUAGUUCGAUUCUAGCCUAUCUGA